AUGCUCCAUGGAAAGAGACAUGGGGGAUUAUUUGUCCUGUUCCCCAGAAGAGUACAUUUAAAAGGAGGAGGAAUUUGGAUCACUAAAAGAAAAAGAAAAAAAAGAAGGAUGAAACAGUCUCAUUGUGUCACCGAGGCUGAAGUGCAGUGGCAUAAUCAUGGCUUACUGCAGCCCCUACCUCUAGGCUCAAGCAAUCCUCCCAUCUCAGCUUCCUGUGUAGCUAGGAUGGAAAUGUUCUUUUUCUUAAAGGAUAUAUACUUUCUCCUAACCUCAGACAUCGGCAGUCUUGAUUGUCAGAACUUCAGACUCAGACUAAAUUUCCUGCUUCUGCAGCCGUCAGACAGAUUAUGGGAGUUCUUGGCCUCCAUAAUUAUGACACAGAAAGAAGGGGAUUGUCCGCAAAUGAAAAAGAAAGACUUCACUGAAAACUGA
RNAcentral lists this long non-coding RNA (432 nucleotides) under Callithrix jacchus (white-tufted-ear marmoset). RNAcentral describes it as "lncRNA (ENSCJAG00000079701.1)". The record is from RNAcentral. Lineage: Eukaryota; Metazoa; Chordata; Mammalia; Primates; Cebidae.